RNAcentral lists this ribosomal RNA (258 nucleotides) under uncultured bacterium. RNAcentral's name for it is "partial 16S ribosomal RNA". It matches the Rfam family "Bacterial small subunit ribosomal RNA", at positions 793 to 1055 of the family's 1533-position model. The record is from RNAcentral.
GUCCACGCCGUAAACGAUGAUAACUCGUUGCCGGCGAUAAACAGUCGGUGACCAAGCGAAAGCGUUAAGUUAUCCACCUGGGGAAUACGACCGCAAGGUUGAAACUCAAAGGAAUUGACGGGGGCCCGCACAAGCGGAGGAACAUGUGGUUUAAUUCGAUGAUACGCGAGGAACCUUACCCGGGCUUGAAAGUUAGCGACGGACCUUGAAAGGGGUCUUCUCUUCGGAGCGCGAAACUAGGUGCUGCAUGGUUGUCGU